UACGUAGGGACCAAGCGUUGUUCGGAUUUACUGGGCGUAAAGGGCGCGUAGGCGGCGUGGUAAGUCACUUGUGAAAUCUCUGAGCUUAACUCAGAACGGCCAAGUGAUACUGCUGUGCUAGAGUGCAGAAGGGGCAAUCGGAAUUCUUGGUGUAGCGGUGAAAUGCGUAGAUAUCAAGAGGAACACCUGAGGUGAAGACGGGUUGCUGGGCUGACACUGACGCUGAGGCGCGAAAGCCAGGGGAGCAAACGGG
This 253-nucleotide ribosomal RNA is filed under the name uncultured bacterium. RNAcentral describes it as "partial 16S ribosomal RNA". It matches the Rfam family "Bacterial small subunit ribosomal RNA", at positions 524 to 776 of the family's 1533-position model. RNAcentral also lists the same sequence under 1 other name. The record is from RNAcentral.